GGUUGAGGUAGAGGAGCGAUACCUAAUAGUAGCUAUAUGGAGGUCGGAAACCUUAGAAGUAUAGUGAAAGGAGUUAUCGCCGAAGCGAUAGAUACCAAAAUCUAUUGCUGGGUCUACAUCUAAUAGGUGUAGGACUGUCAUCAGGUGGUUGCCCUGCUAUCUGAUGGAGUGCUAUCUCAUUA
RNAcentral lists this non-coding RNA (182 nucleotides) under Paramaledivibacter caminithermalis. Its description in RNAcentral is "Clostridium caminithermale Lysine sequence". It matches the Rfam family "Lysine riboswitch aptamer". From Rfam's summary of the family: Riboswitches are metabolite binding domains within certain messenger RNAs that serve as precision sensors for their corresponding targets. Allosteric rearrangement of mRNA structure is mediated by ligand binding, and this results in modulation of gene expression. RNAcentral also lists the same sequence under 1 other name. The record is from RNAcentral. Lineage: Bacteria; Bacillati; Bacillota; Clostridia; Peptostreptococcales; Caminicellaceae.